RNAcentral lists this ribosomal RNA (492 nucleotides) under uncultured bacterium. RNAcentral describes it as "partial 16S ribosomal RNA". It matches the Rfam family "Bacterial small subunit ribosomal RNA", at positions 29 to 507 of the family's 1533-position model. The record is from RNAcentral.
AGUGAACGCUGGCGGUAGGCCUAACACAUGCAAGUCGAACGGCAGCACAGUAAGAGCUUGCUCUUACGGGUGGCGAGUGGCGGACGGGUGAGGAAUACAUCGGAAUCUACUUUUUCGUGGGGGAUAACGUAGGGAAACUUACGCUAAUACCGCAUACGACCUACGGGUGAAAGCAGGGGAUCUUCGGACCUUGCGCGAUUGAAUGAGCCGAUGUCGGAUUAGCUAGUUGGCGGGGUAAAGGCCCACCAAGGCGACGAUCCGUAGCUGGUCUGAGAGGAUGAUAAGCCACCCUGGAGCGUGGACACGGUCCAGAGUCCUGAGGGAGGCAGCAGUGGGGAAUAUGGGACAAUGGGGGGAAGCCUGAUCCAGCCAGACCGCGUGGGUGAAGAAGGCCUUCGGGUUGUAAAGCCCUUUUGUGGGGAAAGAAAAGCAGCAGGUUAAUACCCCGCUGUUCUGACGGUACCCGAAGAAUAAGCACCGGCUAACCUCGUG